AGGCGCUAUCGACCAGAGAGCUAAGAGAGGAGGCAUCGUGGUGUGGGGAGCAUUUGAGUUUUAUCGUGGAGGUCGACUACUCGUGGUCCUGAUAUAAACUUCUGUGUGACCUGCAAGAGGACUGUGAUCAUGAUCUCGUCCCUGAAGAAAUGUCAAGUUUAGAAAAAUGUGUCACAUGUGGAGGACCCCUUUCACCUCUGAAAUGGUCUGGUGUGAUGUGUAAAGUUUGCUACGAGUCCUGGCACAAAAAGUGUUAUGUUAAGCACAAGGUGAACAUCACUGAACCUCUGCCAGUGGUCUGUGAAGAACAAAGUUCAAGUGAGGUGGCAUCAUCAGAAAUGUGCCUGAUUCCACAGCU
Long non-coding RNA from Dicentrarchus labrax (European seabass), 358 nucleotides. RefSeq lists it as uncharacterized. The transcript is spliced from 4 exons. The record is from RefSeq and is a predicted model, not a curated record. Lineage: Eukaryota; Metazoa; Chordata; Actinopteri; Moronidae.